Molecule: non-coding RNA, 29 nt
Filed under: Rattus norvegicus (Norway rat)
Lineage: Eukaryota; Metazoa; Chordata; Mammalia; Rodentia; Muridae
Source: RNAcentral
GGUGCUUGAGAAAGACUGACGAGAAGCUC